CAUGCACGCACACGCAUGUAGAGAGGACGUCUACUUGAAGUAGUAUGGGAGGUCGAGCACGUAGAGGAGGAAGUAGGCCCAGACCACGCCGGAGAUGCCGCCGAAGAAGAAGCCUCCGGUGAACUUGGCCCAGCCGUCGGCGGUCUGCAGCUUGUCGGCCUCCUUCUUGCGGCCGGUGAGCGUGAGCGUGGGCGCCGUGGACGGGUCGCCCUCGUUGAAGGAGGCGACGCCGUACAUGGUGAGGCAGACGCUGAGGAUGGUGACGAGCCCGGCGGCGCCCAGGGCGCCCGCCUGGCCGUGCACGGGCGUGUUGCGGAGCGGGCCGGUGAGGGCGAAGGGGCCCACGAGGAGGUAGCCGUGCGCAAGCCCGACCUCGAUGCCGCGGAGCAGCGGGCUCACGGCGGUGCGGUAGGCCGGGAGGUUGGAGAGGUACCAGGCGAUGAGCGGGCUGGAGGUGAUGGGCGUCUCCAGGCUGCCGAUGAAGGGGUCGCCGUUGAUGGGCUGCACCACCUGGUACGUU
This 520-nucleotide long non-coding RNA is filed under the name Setaria viridis. RNAcentral's name for it is "long non-coding RNA (SVIR_LNC003370)". Lineage: Eukaryota; Viridiplantae; Streptophyta; Magnoliopsida; Poales; Poaceae. The record is from RNAcentral.